AUUUAUUAGUCUUCUUCCCUGUGUUCAUAAAUGCAGGGACCUGACAUCCGUUUUUGUGCGGUUGAAUGAAACGAAAAUAUCUGAGAAUGAAAAGUAAGAAUUUCAUCAUAUGGCGUAAACACUUUCUUCACGCUAAAACGAGGCAAUAAAACCUCCCUUAACACAAAGAUCCAGUAUCUUAGCUGCUGACACAAAGGGCUGGAAAGAAAAGAGGAUAAAAUCAAAGAGGAGAGUGAAAAGACGGUUGGCGAAGGAAGUCUACACAAAGGCUUCACACCGACUCCCCUUCAUUUGCCCUUUAUCACUGUCACUAGUUUGUUUAGAUUUCAUUUUCUCCCUCAUGUUUAGCCAGGCUUAAUUAUGAAAGAAGGUUGGAGCAAACAAGGCAACACGAGAUAGGAACAAAGAUGAAAUAACUAAGGAAGAGUGGAGAGACGGAAAAAAAAAAACACACACACACACACACACAUAUGCAGGUGUGCACUUUAUUGAUGUAGAACGAAUCGGCGUGCGGCAGCGAUCCAGCAGUUUCCUAUUCCCAAAUCAAACAAGCACUCAUUAAAACCUCACCUUCCCCAGUCUUUUCACAAAUCAUUUCCACAAAUUCAUUUCACGGAAACACAUUUCACCCCAAGACAGAAAUCAAACAUAAUCCUAUGGUUCAUUUCCAUUCACACAACACAAAUCUUAUGAGUGAUCACAAUAAAUCUAUUCCACAGAUUUGUCUGCCCAUCAGCACCUGUUAUCGUGAGUGAGGGUUCUUGAUAUGCUUCAGUAGAGAUCGGGACUCAAUUAUUUUAUUUAGCAGACGAUGCACGGCAGCAUGCAAAAAACCUAUACCAGCAGCCUCACGCAUACAGGUCUGCAGUCAAUAAGCCGUUUCCUGUUAGGAAGGAGAGUGUGUGCAUGUUUCUCUCUGAACAGUGCCUGUUUGUUUUCUUUGGCUGAAUUUGCGCCUUUCUUUCUCCUCAAGUCUUGUCAUCUUUUGAAUGUGGAGAACAUAAAUCCAUGUCAUUCAUUGUAGGUGUUGUGUGUGUGUCCUUUUGUGAUGGUCACUACAACUGUGCAUCUGUGGAG
Gambusia affinis (western mosquitofish) is the source of this 1077-nucleotide long non-coding RNA. RefSeq lists it as uncharacterized. The transcript has 4 exons. NCBI's taxonomy places the organism in Eukaryota, Metazoa, Chordata, Actinopteri, Cyprinodontiformes, Poeciliidae. The record is from RefSeq and is a predicted model, not a curated record.